This is a long non-coding RNA of Onychostoma macrolepis, 617 nucleotides long. RefSeq lists it as uncharacterized. The record is from RefSeq and is a predicted model, not a curated record. NCBI's taxonomy places the organism in Eukaryota, Metazoa, Chordata, Actinopteri, Cypriniformes, Cyprinidae. The transcript is spliced from 4 exons.
AGAGAGGAGAACACAGAUGAUGUUGUGUAGACACUAACUGUGCUCCUGCAUUUAGUGAAGGUUAAAUAUACUGUAGUGGUAGAUAUUCUCAAUUGGACAAUCAUCAAGUAAGCUGGACUCCCUAUUGAAAAACCAGAAGAAUGAGCAACACUUCAUGUUGACGAUAUCGCUGGAAAUGAAGUGUGCCCAACUAAGCAAGCCAGAGGCGACAGCGGCAAGGAACCAAAACUCCAUCGGUGACAGAAUGGAGAAAAACACCUUGGGAGAAACCAGGCUCAGUCGGGGAUUUGGUCCACUACUGGGCUUUGAAUGCAUGAAUAAUCAGCAGGGUGGAGGGGUCUGUCAGGACAACAAGGGUCCGCUACACAUGUUAGUGCAAGAGCCAUGUUCUCUCAAAGUCCACAAGUAAUAGUACAACAAACAUUUGCUUGCUUUGCCCAUCCUAGCGUCAGUUCAUGUUGUGGUUGUUGUGAAGUGAUUUGUAAGAACAUUGGAGUGAAUUAAAUGAUUCAAUACUCUAUUCCUAUGAUGAUACCUGCACUUGUGCACACUUGUUCAUUUACAGUAUAUUGGCUUACUGUACUAACAAUUCAGACAAGUUAAUUUUCUUAAUGUGA